ACAAAGCUUUGCCAGACAGCGAGGUUGCUGUUGAUGGUGCAACUGUCCCAACAGAAGAUAUUACCGUCCCACAACGCAGCACUUCACCAUAUUGGAUCACAAUGACAACUAGUCCCUUGUGUUCCCCACUGUCUCUCCUUGGUUCACAAUCCCAGAGUAUUUAACUGUCAGUGAACCUGAUGACAUUGAGAAAGCCCAAUCUCAAGGUUCUACGUUCUCCACGAUCAUG
This is a long non-coding RNA of Oreochromis niloticus (Nile tilapia), 229 nucleotides long. RefSeq lists it as uncharacterized. NCBI's taxonomy places the organism in Eukaryota, Metazoa, Chordata, Actinopteri, Cichliformes, Cichlidae. The record is from RefSeq and is a predicted model, not a curated record. The transcript is spliced from 3 exons.